GACGAACGCUGGCGGCGUGCUUAACACAUGCAAGUCGAACGAUGAAGAAAAGAAUCGAAGCUUCGGCAGAAAUUCAUUGCGGAUUAGUGGCAGACGGGUGAGUAACGCGUGAGCAACCGACCACUUACAAAGGGAUAGCCUCGGGAAACCGGGAUUAAUACCAUAUAACAGUGCGACGAAGAAUUUCGAUGCAAUCAAAGCUACGGCGGGCAGAGAUGGGCCCGCGUCCCAUUAACCGGAUGGUGAGGUAACGGCUCACCAUAGUGACGCUGGGUAACCGGCCUGAGAGGGUGACCGGUCACACUGGAGCUGAGACACGGUCCAGACUCCUACGGGAUGCAGCAGUGGGGAAUAGUGCACCAUGGAGGGAACUCUGAUGCAGCGACGCCGCGUGAGUUAUGAAGUUAUUCGUGUCGUAAAGCUCUGUUCUAUGGGAAGAAAAGGACUGUACCAGAGGAGAAAGCUCCGGCUAACUACGUG
Molecule: ribosomal RNA, 480 nt
Filed under: uncultured bacterium
Lineage: Bacteria
Description: partial 16S ribosomal RNA
Rfam family: Bacterial small subunit ribosomal RNA
Source: RNAcentral